GUGCUCGCUUUGGCAGCACAUAUACUAAAAUUGGAACAGUACAGAGAAUAUUAGCAUGGCCCAUGCCCAAGGAAGACACGCAAAUUCAUGAAGCAUUCCAUAUUU
This 105-nucleotide small nuclear RNA is filed under the name Mus pahari (shrew mouse). The record is from RNAcentral. Lineage: Eukaryota; Metazoa; Chordata; Mammalia; Rodentia; Muridae.